This 431-nucleotide ribosomal RNA is filed under the name uncultured bacterium. Its description in RNAcentral is "partial 16S ribosomal RNA". It matches the Rfam family "Bacterial small subunit ribosomal RNA", at positions 29 to 507 of the family's 1533-position model. The record is from RNAcentral.
AACGAACGCUGGCGGCAGGCCUAACACAUGCAAGUCGAGCGCCCUUUCGGGGGAGCGGCGGACGGGUGAGUAACGCGUGGGAAUAUGCCCUUCUCUACGGAAUAGCCUCGGGAAACUGAGAGUAAUACCGUAUACGCCCUUUGGGGGCAAGAUUUAUCGGGGAAGGAUUAGCCCGCGUUGGAUUAGGUAGUUGGUGGGGUAAUGGCCUACCAAGCCGACGAUCCAUAGCUGGGUUGAGAGGAUGAUCAGCCACACUGGGACUGAGACACGGCCCAGACUCCUACGGGAGGCAGCAGUGGGGAAUCUUAGACAAUGGGGGCAACCCUGAUCGAGCCAUGCCGCGUGAGUGAUGAAGGCCUUAGGGUUGUAAAGCUCUUUCAGCUGGGAAGAUAAUGACGGUACCAGCAGAAGAAGCCCCGGCUAACUCCGUG